RNAcentral lists this transfer RNA (77 nucleotides) under Pseudomonadota bacterium. RNAcentral describes it as "tRNA-Pro". It matches the Rfam family "tRNA". Rfam says of the family: Transfer RNA (tRNA) molecules are approximately 80 nucleotides in length. Their secondary structure includes four short double-helical elements and three loops (D, anti-codon, and T loops). Further hydrogen bonds mediate the characteristic L-shaped molecular structure. tRNAs have two regions of fundamental functional importance: the anti-codon, which is responsible for specific mRNA codon recognition, and the 3' end, to which the tRNAs corresponding amino acid is attached (by aminoacyl-tRNA synthetases). tRNAs cope with the degeneracy of the genetic code in two manners: having more than one tRNA (with a specific anti-codon) for a particular amino acid; and 'wobble' base-pairing, i.e. permitting non-standard base-pairing at the 3rd anti-codon position. Lineage: Bacteria; Pseudomonadati; Pseudomonadota. RNAcentral also lists the same sequence under 4 other names. The record is from RNAcentral.
CGGGGCGUAGCUCAGCCUGGUAGAGCGCCAGCUUUGGGAGCUGGAUGUCGCGUGUUCGAAUCACGCCGCCCCGACCA